AAAACUCUAAGCGGUGGAUCACUCGGCUCAUGGGUCGAUGAAGAACGCAGCAAACUGUGCGUCAUCGUGUGAACUGCAGGACACAUGAACAUCGACAUUUUGAACGCAUAUCGCAGUCCAUGCUGUUAUGUACUUUAAUUAAUUUUAUAGUGCUGCUUGGACUACAUAUGGUUGAGGGUUGUAAGACUAUGCUAAUUAAGUUGCUUAUAAAUUUUUAUAAGCAUAUGGUAUAUUAUUGGAUAAAUAUAAUAAUUUUUAUUCAUAAUAUUAAAAAAUAAAUGAAAAACAUUAUCUCACAUUUGAAUGUGAAAAACGAAGAGAAAUAUUUUCUUUUUCAAUCAAAUAAUACUGAGAAAUGUCUAGCAUAAAAAAUUGAAAUAUUUUUCAUCUAGAAUUGUCUCUUAUUAAUGAUUCGGAAAUAGAAAAAUCUUGGUUAUGUUAUUAUUCUUCGUUGGUUCGUUAAAAAUGGAUAAAUAAAAACUUUGCAUACAAGAAUUAAUAAAAAUGUUAUAACGAAUUUAAUUAAAUGUUUUAUCAUUAUAUAUAAAGAAUUUAUGGCAAGAUAAAGUUAUAUACAACCUCAACUCAUAUGGGACUACCCCUGAAUUUAAGCAUAUUAAUUAGGGGAGGAAAAGAAACUAACAAGGAUUUUCUUAGUAGCGGCGAGCGAAAAGAAAACAGUUCAGCACUAAGUCACUUUGUCUAUAUGGCAAAUGUGAGAUGCAGUGUAUGGAGCGUCAAUAUUCUAGUAUGAGAAAUUAACGAUUUAAGUCCUUCUUAAAUGAGGCCAUUUACCCAUAGAGGGUGCCAGGCCCGUAUAACGUUAAUGAUUACUAGAUGAUGUUUCCAAAGAGUCGUGUUGCUUGAUAGUGCAGCACUAAGAGGGUGGUAAACUCCAUCUAAAACUAAAUAUAACCAUGAGACCGAUAGUAAACAAGUACCGUGAGGGAAAGUUGAAAAGAACUCUGAAUAGAGAGUUAAACAGUACGUGAAACUGCUUAGAGGUUAAGCCCGAUGAACCUGAAUAUCCGUUAUGGAAAAUUCAUCAUUAAAAUUGUAAUAUUUAAAUAAUAUUAUGAGAAUAGUGUGCAUUUUUUCCAUAUAAGGACAUUGUAAUCUAUUAGCAUAUACCAAAUUUAUCAUAAAAUAUAACUUAUAGUUUAUUCCAAUUAAAUUGCUUGCAUUUUAACACAGAAUAAAUGUUAUUAAUUUGAUAAAGUGCUGAUAGAUUUAUAUGAUUACAGUGCGUUAAUUUUUCGGAAUUAUAUAAUGGCAUAAUUAUCAUUGAUUUUUGUGUUUAUUAUAUGCACUUGUAUGAUUAACAAUGCGAAAGAUUCAGGAUACCUUCGGGACCCGUCUUGAAACACGGACCAAGGAGUCUAACAUAUGUGCAAGUUAUUGGGAUAUAAACCUAAUAGCGUAAUUAACUUGACUAAUAAUGGGAUUAGUUUUUUAGCUAUUUAUAGCUAAUUAACACAAUCCGGGGCGUUCUAUAUAGUUAUGUAUAAUGUAUAUUUAUAUUAUUUAUGCCUCUAACUGGAACGUACCUUGAGCAUAUAUGCUGUGACCCGAAAGAUGGUGAACUAUACUUGAUCAGGUUGAAGUCAGGGGAAACCCUGAUGGAAGACCGAAACAGUUCUGACGUGCAAAUCGAUUGUCAGAAUUGAGUAUAGGGGCGAAAGACCAAUCGAACCAUCUAGUAGCUGGUUCCUUCCGAAGUUUCCCUCAGGAUAGCUGGUGCAUUUUAAUAUUAUAUAAAAUAAUCUUAUCUGGUAAAGCGAAUGAUUAGAGGCCUUAGGGUCGAAACGAUCUUAACCUAUUCUCAAACUUUAAAUGGGUAAGAACCUUAACUUUCUUGAUAUGAAGUUCAAGGUUAUGAUAUAAUGUGCCCAGUGGGCCACUUUUGGUAAGCAGAACUGGCGCUGUGGGAUGAACCAAACGUAAUGUUACGGUGCCCAAAUUAACAACUCAUGCAGAUACCAUGAAAGGCGUUGGUUGCUUAAAACAGCAGGACGGUGAUCAUGGAAGUCGAAAUCCGCUAAGGAGUGUGUAACAACUCACCUGCCGAAGCAACUAGCCCUUAAAAUGGAUGGCGCUUAAGUUGUAUACCUAUACAUUACCGCUAAAGUAGAUGAUUUAUAUUACUUGUGAUAUAAAUUUUGAAACUUUAGUGAGUAGGAAGGUACAAUGGUAUGCGUAGAAGUGUUUGGCGUAAGCCUGCAUGGAGCUGCCAUUGGUACAGAUCUUGGUGGUAGUAGCAAAUAAUCGAAUGAGACCUUGGAGGACUGAAGUGGAGAAGGGUUUCGUGUGAACAGUGGUUGAUCACGAGUUAGUCGGUCCUAAGUUCAAGGCGAAAGCCGAAAAUUUUCAAGUAAAACAAAAAUGCCUAACUAUAUAAACAAAGCGAAUUAUAAUACACUUGAAUAAUUUUGAACGAAAGGGAAUACGGUUCCAAUUCCGUAACCUGUUGAGUAUCCGUUUGUUAUUAAAUAUGGGCCUCGUGCUCAUCCUGGCAACAGGAACGACCAUAAAGAAGCCGUCGAGAGAUAUCGGAAGAGUUUUCUUUUCUGUUUUAUAGCCGUACUACCAUGGAAGUCUUUCGCAGAGAGAUAUGGUAGAUGGGCUAGAAGAGCAUGACAUAUACUGUUGUGUCGAUAUUUUCUCCUCGGACCUUGAAAAUUUAUGGUGGGGACACGCAAACUUCUCAACAGGCCGUACCAAUAUCCGCAGCUGGUCUCCAAGGUGAAGAGUCUCUAGUCGAUAGAAUAAUGUAGGUAAGGGAAGUCGGCAAAUUAGAUCCGUAACUUCGGGAUAAGGAUUGGCUCUGAAGAUUGAGAUAGUCGGGCUUGAUUGGGAAACAAUAACAUGGUUUAUGUGCUCGUUCUGGGUAAAUAGAGUUUCUAGCAUUUAUGUUAGUUACUUGUUCCCCGGAUAGUUUAGUUACGUAGCCAAUUGUGGAACUUUCUUGCUAAAAUUUUUAAGAAUACUAUUUGGGUUAAACCAAUUAGUUCUUAUUAAUUAUAACGAUUAUCAAUUAACAAUCAAUUCAGAACUGGCACGGACUUGGGGAAUCCGACUGUCUAAUUAAAACAAAGCAUUGUGAUGGCCCUAGCGGGUGUUGACACAAUGUGAUUUCUGCCAGUGCUCUGAAUGUCAAAGUGAAGAAAUUCAAGUAAGCGCGGGUCAACGGCGGGAGUAACUAUGACUCUCUUAAGGUUAGUGGAGGUCUCGGAAUUCCAUCACUAAGAUGGGUAGCUCCAAUGUUAAGGCUAAGACGCUUGAGUAACAUUAAAUGGCCUCACCUCACGCAAAACGAGGUAGCCAGCUCUUUCCUCGAAGCCGAAAAACAACGGGCCCGAGAUAGAUUAUUAGCUGAACAAAAUGAACUGUUAUCGCGUCCGGCAAUAGAAAAAUAUUGGGCGAACAAGUUGUACCUCUCAGUUGAUGGUAGCGGACUCCGUGAAGCGGGCCAUUAUGGCCCGCAACACGGGUGGGUUAGUCAACCCACGCGUUUAUUAACAGGAAAGGAAUAUAUAGACGGUAUUCGUCUGCGGAUAAAUGCCCUACCCACAAAGUCUCGUACUACAAGGGGAAGGCACGAAUUGGAACGACAGUGUCGUGCAGGAUGUGAUGCUCCCGAAACAACAAACCACAUAAUGCAAAAAUGCUACCGCUCGCAUGGGAGGCGGGUAGCUAGACACAACUGCGUAGUAAAUCGAAUCAAGCGGGGACUUGAGGAGAGAGGCUGCGUGGUCAUUGUUGAACCAAGUCUGCAGUGCGAAUCCGGCCUUAAUAAACCAGACCUGGUGGCACUACGACAAAAUCACAUUGAUGUGAUCGACAUACAAAUUGUGACAGACGGACACUCUAUGGAUGAUGCGCACCAGCGCAAAAUCAAUAGAUACGACA
Molecule: ribosomal RNA, 3909 nt
Filed under: Drosophila melanogaster (fruit fly)
Lineage: Eukaryota; Metazoa; Arthropoda; Insecta; Diptera; Drosophilidae
Description: eukaryotic LSU rRNA
Rfam family: Eukaryotic large subunit ribosomal RNA (bases 576-3909)
Source: RNAcentral